Pelobates cultripes (western spadefoot toad) is the source of this 637-nucleotide non-coding RNA. The record is from the annotation of a GenBank genome assembly. Lineage: Eukaryota; Metazoa; Chordata; Amphibia; Anura; Pelobatidae.
AACAAAAUUGGAAGAAAAAGGGGUUUAAUAAUGCUUUUGUCACUUGUGCCCAUACAAAUUAUUAUGUUCCAGUGUUCCCUAAUCAGUUAUAGUACAACCAAUUAGUCCGAGCAUAAUAAAUUGCAGUUUUUUUUCCGAUGUAAAAGCUAUUUGGGUAUAUAUGAUUCACGUAAAUUUGGAUUAAUUCAUGUAGGUCUAUUCUUUGCAGACAGGUCUCUGACAUAUGACCUUUUUAUUACUUUAACUUGUACAACAAUCCAUCAUAGGACCUUAUCAAAGCAUUCAUUUGUCUUGCUAUACAGUGCAGUCACUAGUGUAAAAUACGUUUGUUUGUAUUCAGUUAUCUCAGUUUCCAUUCUAUUCUGGAGAAAAUUACCUCUGUGAACCGCCAUGUUUCAGCAUUGUUUAUGACAUACGCAACUUGUGAGAUUUAUACAUCUUUAAGUAUAGUUCAUCUUUGCUAACUAUUCCUUGUCUAAAGAAAUGACUUACCCUGAAUCAUUGGAUGUGCUUGGUUCAUGGAUUUGCAAACAUUCUAACAAUGACUGAGUAUAGUAUGGUAUCAGUUCUGAAAAAUGGCUUCACAUUACUAAAAUCCAUUUGAUUUAUUGUUUUUUCUAAACCGUAUAUAGGUUAC